CAGUAGCCGCGGGAAUACAGAGGGUGCGAGCGUUAAUCGGAUUUACUGGGCGUAAAGCGUGCGUAGGCGGCUUUUUAAGUCGGAUGUGAAAUCCCUGAGCUUAACUUAGGAAUUGCAUUCGAUACUGGGAAGCUAGAGUAUGGGAGAGGAUGGUAGAAUUCCAGGUGUAGCGGUGAAAUGCGUAGAGAUCUGGAGGAAUACCAAUGGCGAAGGCAGCCAUCUGGCCUAAUACUGACGCUGAGGUACGAAAGCAUGGGGAGCAAACAGGAUUAGAUACCCCUGUAGUCCCUGUCUCUUAUAC
This 301-nucleotide ribosomal RNA is filed under the name uncultured bacterium. RNAcentral describes it as "partial 16S ribosomal RNA". It matches the Rfam family "Bacterial small subunit ribosomal RNA", at positions 509 to 807 of the family's 1533-position model. The record is from RNAcentral.